Molecule: microRNA, 17 nt
Filed under: Corchorus olitorius
Lineage: Eukaryota; Viridiplantae; Streptophyta; Magnoliopsida; Malvales; Malvaceae
Description: hsa-miR-44
Source: RNAcentral
GGGGCUGGGCGCGGGCA